UUGUGAAAUGUUGGGUUAAGUCCCGCAACGAGCGCAACCCUUUUCCUUAGUUGCCAACAAGUAAAGGUGGGAACUCUAAGGAGACCGCCGGUGACAAACCGGAGGAAGGUGGGGAUGACGUCAAGUCAUCAUGGCCCUUACGGCCAGGGCUACACACGUGCUACAAUGGUGGAUACAGAGGGUAGCAAGCCAGCGAGGUGGAGCAAAUCCCAAAAACCCGAUCUAAGUCCGGAUUGCAGUCUGCAACUCGACUCCAUGAAGUGGAAUCGCUAGUAAUC
RNAcentral lists this ribosomal RNA (278 nucleotides) under uncultured bacterium. Its description in RNAcentral is "partial 16S ribosomal RNA". It matches the Rfam family "Bacterial small subunit ribosomal RNA", at positions 1065 to 1343 of the family's 1533-position model. The record is from RNAcentral.